GAUGAACGCUGGCGGCGUGCUUAACACAUGCAAGUCGAACGGUGAAGGCGGAGCUUGCUCUGCUGGAUCAGUGGCGAACGGGUGAGUAACACGUGAGCAAUCUGCCCCUGACUCUGGGAUAAGCGCUGGAAACGGCGUCUAAUACUGGAUACGAGCUGCGAAGGCAUCUUCAGCAGCUGGAAAGAACUUCGGUCAGGGAUGAGCUCGCGGCCUAUCAGCUUGUUGGUGAGGUAACGGCUCACCAAGGCGUCGACGGGUAGCCGGCCUGAGAGGGUGACCGGCCACACUGGGACUGAGACACGGCCCAGACUCCUACGGGAGGCAGCAGUGGGGAAUAUUGCACAAUGGGCGAAAGCCUGAUGCAGCAACGCCGCGUGAGGGACGACGGCCUUCGGGUUGUAAACCUCUUUUAGCAGGGAAGAAGCGAAAGUGACGGUACCUGCAGAAAAAGCGCGGGCUAACUACGUG
This 468-nucleotide ribosomal RNA is filed under the name uncultured bacterium. Its description in RNAcentral is "partial 16S ribosomal RNA". It matches the Rfam family "Bacterial small subunit ribosomal RNA", at positions 28 to 507 of the family's 1533-position model. The record is from RNAcentral.